UGGCGUACGUCUAAUUUACGAUAGUUUUCGUGUUAACUUCUAUAACAUUUUUUAUGGUUAAAAUCCUGUCCUUUUUUCCACAGAAAAAUGAAUACUUCAAAGUUGGUUAUCGUUUUUGCUCUGCUCGUCCUUAUGGCUGGAACCACAGUUGAAGCAAUUUGGCCACUUGUUAGUUUUGGUAUUAGAGCAGCUAUCGGCCGAAGAAGACGUUCAUGGGGGUGGAACAACAAAGAAAUAAAUUUCGAAGCAUCAGAUAACGAUGCUAUGGAAGCAGUCUUGAAGCAAAUCGAAGAAUAAAUUGAAAGAGAUAGAAAACUGAGACCUAUAAGCUGUCAUUAAGCCGUACAUUUAUAAAUUCCCAGAUGAUAACAAUCAAUAAAAAUGUACUAUAGUUGCGUAUUA
Molecule: non-coding RNA, 402 nt
Organism: Ciona intestinalis (vase tunicate)
Lineage: Eukaryota; Metazoa; Chordata; Ascidiacea; Phlebobranchia; Cionidae
Source: RefSeq, a predicted model, not a curated record